RNAcentral lists this ribosomal RNA (1687 nucleotides) under Salmonella enterica subsp. enterica serovar Paratyphi A. Its description in RNAcentral is "16S ribosomal RNA". The record is from RNAcentral. Lineage: Bacteria; Pseudomonadati; Pseudomonadota; Gammaproteobacteria; Enterobacterales; Enterobacteriaceae.
UUUUCAUCAGACAAUCUGUGUGAGCACUGCAAAGUACGCUUCUUUAAGGUAAGGAGGUGAUCCAACCGCAGGUUCCCCUACGGUUACCUUGUUACGACUUCACCCCAGUCAUGAAUCACAAAGUGGUAAGCGCCCUCCCGAAGGUUAAGCUACCUACUUCUUUUGCAACCCACUCCCAUGGUGUGACGGGCGGUGUGUACAAGGCCCGGGAACGUAUUCACCGUGGCAUUCUGAUCCACGAUUACUAGCGAUUCCGACUUCAUGGAGUCGAGUUGCAGACUCCAAUCCGGACUACGACGCACUUUAUGAGGUCCGCUUGCUCUCGCGAGGUCGCUUCUCUUUGUAUGCGCCAUUGUAGCACGUGUGUAGCCCUGGUCGUAAGGGCCAUGAUGACUUGACGUCAUCCCCACCUUCCUCCAGUUUAUCACUGGCAGUCUCCUUUGAGUUCCCGGCCGGACCGCUGGCAACAAAGGAUAAGGGUUGCGCUCGUUGCGGGACUUAACCCAACAUUUCACAACACGAGCUGACGACAGCCAUGCAGCACCUGUCUCACGGUUCCCGAAGGCACAUUCUCAUCUCUGAAAACUUCCGUGGAUGUCAAGACCAGGUAAGGUUCUUCGCGUUGCAUCGAAUUAAACCACAUGCUCCACCGCUUGUGCGGGCCCCCGUCAAUUCAUUUGAGUUUUAACCUUGCGGCCGUACUCCCCAGGCGGUCUACUUAACGCGUUAGCUCCGGAAGCCACGCCUCAAGGGCACAACCUCCAAGUAGACAUCGUUUACGGCGUGGACUACCAGGGUAUCUAAUCCUGUUUGCUCCCCACGCUUUCGCACCUGAGCGUCAGUCUUUGUCCAGGGGGCCGCCUUCGCCACCGGUAUUCCUCCAGAUCUCUACGCAUUUCACCGCUACACCUGGAAUUCNNNNNNNNNNNNNNNNNNNNCCCCCCUCUACAAGACUCAAGCCUGCCAGUUUCGAAUGCAGUUCCCAGGUUGAGCCCGGGGAUUUCACAUCCGACUUGACAGACCGCCUGCGUGCGCUUUACGCCCAGUAAUUCCGAUUAACGCUUGCACCCUCCGUAUUACCGCGGCUGCUGGCACGGAGUUAGCCGGUGCUUCUUCUGCGGGUAACGUCAAUUGCUGCGGUUAUUAACCACAACACCUUCCUCCCCGCUGAAAGUACUUUACAACCCGAAGGCCUUCUUCAUACACGCGGCAUGGCUGCAUCAGGCUUGCGCCCAUUGUGCAAUAUUCCCCACUGCUGCCUCCCGUAGGAGUCUGGACCGUGUCUCAGUUCCAGUGUGGCUGGUCAUCCUCUCAGACCAGCUAGGGAUCGUCGCCUUGGUGAGCCGUUACCUCACCAACAAGCUAAUCCCAUCUGGGCACAUCUGAUGGCAAGAGGCCCGAAGGUCCCCCUCUUUGGUCUUGCGACGUUAUGCGGUAUUAGCCACCGUUUCCAGUAGUUAUCCCCCUCCAUCAGGCAGUUUCCCAGACAUUACUCACCCGUCCGCCACUCGUCAGCAAAGCAGCAAGCUGCUUCCUGUUACCGUUCGACUUGCAUGUGUUAGGCCUGCCGCCAGCGUUCAAUCUGAGCCAUGAUCAAACUCUUCAAUUUAAAAGUUUGAUGCUCAAUGAAUUAAACUUCGUAAUGAAUUACGUGUUCACUCUUGAGACUUGGUAUUCAUUUUUCGUC